This 384-nucleotide unclassified non-coding RNA is filed under the name uncultured fungus. Its description in RNAcentral is "partial contains small subunit ribosomal RNA, internal transcribed spacer 1, and 5.8S ribosomal RNA". The stretch from base 1 to 73 matches the Rfam family "Eukaryotic small subunit ribosomal RNA", at positions 1759 to 1831 of the family's 1831-position model. The record is from RNAcentral. Lineage: Eukaryota; Fungi.
UCAAACUUGGUCAUUUAGAGGAAGUAAAAGUCGUAACAAGGUUUCCGUAGGUGAACCUGCGGAAGGAUCAUUAACGAAUUGUAAACAACUUGGCUGUCGCUGGCUCUCUCUGGGAGCAUGUGCACGCCUUGUUCAAACUCUUCAUCCUUAACCUCCUGUGCACACUUCGUGGAUCGUGAAUGGAUAACUCUCGAGGUAACACUCGGUUUUGGCGUUUGCGUCUAACACACGCUCUCUCCUACAUCUGUUCCCGGUUCAUGUUUUUUUACACACUACAUAAUUAAUCUAGAAUGCUUCAAAGUUGGGACUUUAGUGACCCUUCUUAAAUUAAAUACAACUUUCAACAACGGAUCUCUUGGCUCUCGCAUCGAUGAAGAACGCAGC